CCGACAAUCAAUUUCCAAUUGAUCUUAAUUCCGGAAAAUCUUGUGGUUACCAAUGAAAACAAAAGUGAUGUUGAAUUCACCAAUCAAUCCAGAUUGAUCUCAUUUAAAUUGUGUGUUGAUCAAACAAAACCUCAUUUAAUUGUUUCUUAUAUUAUCUCAUAUUCCCUGUGAAAGAAUCAAUUACAAACAAUUAAAACCUAAAAUAAACAAUUAAUAAAAUGAUAAAACAACACUCUAAUCAAAUUGGUAUCAUAUUCAAUUCUCAACCAUAAUAACAUUAAAGAUAAUCACUUAAUUAACACAAAAGAAAAGUCAAAUCAACAAUCGAAAUAAAAACUUCGAAAACGAAAACCAAUCAUGUUUCGUACUAACGCUACCAGAUCAAAGUCGAAAAGAGUUACAUUCGGCUCUGAACUUCUCGUUCAUUAAUUCCAACAAACAGAAACUAUUAUCACGAGAAAAAGUCGCAAGUAUAAACAAGGAGUAAAUGGGAAUACAUGUAGAUGGAAAUUGGAAAUGACAUUAGACUUUGACUUAAUCUAAUUAAGUUUAUUAGCCAACCGUUGAUUAAAUGGUUGUGAUAAUUACUCUGAAUAUGGUAAUUGUAAGACUUAGACAAGGAUGGUGACAAAUGAUUGAAUUAGAAUUUUUUCUGGUUGUAAUCAGUGUCGCAUAUUAAGAACAGCCUGGAGCAUCCCUAUGGAGAUUAAACAGUAAAUUAGUUGAAUACGCAAUUAACUGUUAAUUCGGGUUCGUUUUUGACGUAAUCAAUUUGUUCAUAAUUAUGGAUAAAUUUGAUGCGAAAAAGUGAAGCUAAAUUGUUUUUAAGAUGCAUAAGAACAACAGAAUUAUUAAUUAAAGUGAUUAGGGUAAAUCUUGUACAAGUAAAUACUGCGAAUCGUUGCUCUUUCUUGGCCUUUUCAGUGUUUAAAUAUUUUUGUAUGAGAUCAGUUUGUGUCCGAAUGAUUCCAAAGCGAAAUCGAAGAUAAAUGCUGAGUAACUAAUCGAUGAAGUAUAUUCCAUCUUUCACCUUCAGAUGAGAUUAGCCCUUGACCGAUAAAUUUCUCAGUAAAAACGAACAUCGAACCCUUCUUAAUUACUAUUGGUGGAUCAAGAAUCCUCUUUGACUUUAUUUCCUCUUUACUAAGAUUCUCAAAGAAGGAACCAAAUCAGGGGAGGUCGUAACUCUACCAACGAUAUUUCAAGUGAAUCAACUUGAGGAAUCGUUUAGGUUUAUGAUCAAAGCAAACAAAUCAAAGAAGUUCUGGAAAGUUUUGAGAUGAAAAUGAAGAUCCAAAUAAAGUUAAAAUUUAUUAUCGUUCAAUUGGUCAAACAUUUUUCGAUCUUGAAAAAAGUUACAUAAUAACUGGUGGACUUGGAGGAUUAGGACUCGAACUUGGCUACUGGAUGGUAUCGAGAUGAGCGAUUAAUCUACACAGAGAGAAAAUAAGAAUUAGAUUACUUCCUGUUACGUCAAUUCUUUUUUUGAAGAAGAAACGUAAUUUAAGACAUUUAAAUUUUCGCGCUUCUUUUUUUGGAGAUUUCGUUUUCCUUUUGUUUACAAUUUGGGUUACAUUUGAUUUCGCAAUUUAUUAUUGUGAAUCGUUUAUUUUCAUUAGUUUAUUAUCAAUUAUUUUCUCGAUUUGACUGACGAAUUGACUGGGUCUUCCAUUUACUUUUCUUCUCUCAUCUGGUUCAAGUCAUGAAUUCCAAUACUGAUAUGGUUGACAAAUAUGAUCGAUACAAUUUCGACUACGACAAGAAACUUUUCUGUAAUCACAGUGGUAAACAAAGAAGUAAACGAGAAGCCGAAGAACAUACAAAUAAACAUGAUCCAUGUGGACAUACCCGAAAAUUGGAGCAAAAGUUUCACAACACUGAGAUGAACAGAAGAAAAAGUGAAUCUAAAUAAACUUUUCAUCUUCAUCUUC
Panonychus citri (citrus red mite) is the source of this 1931-nucleotide long non-coding RNA. RefSeq lists it as uncharacterized. NCBI's taxonomy places the organism in Eukaryota, Metazoa, Arthropoda, Arachnida, Trombidiformes, Tetranychidae. The transcript has 2 exons. The record is from RefSeq and is a predicted model, not a curated record.